GACGAACGCUGGCGGCGUGCUUAACACAUGCAAGUCGAACGGAAAGGCCCUGCUUUUGUGGGGUGCUCGAGUGGCGAACGGGUGAGUAACACGUGAGUAACCUGCCCUUGACUUUGGGAUAACUUCAGGAAACUGGGGCUAAUACCGGAUAGGAGCUCCUGCUGCAUGGUGGGGGUUGGAAAGUUUCGGCGGUUGGGGAUGGACUCGCGGCUUAUCAGCUUGUUGGUGGGGUAGUGGCUUACCAAGGCUUUGACGGGUAGCCGGCCUGAGAGGGUGACCGGCCACAUUGGGACUGAGAGACGGCCCAGACUCCUACGGGAGGCAGCAGUGGGGUAUAUUGCACAAUGGGCGGAAGCCUGAUGCAGCAACGCCGCGUGCGGGAUGACGGCCUUCGGGUUGUAAACCGCUUUCGCCUGUGACGAAGCGUGAGUGACGGUAAUGGGUAAAGAAGCACCGGCUAACUACGUG
RNAcentral lists this ribosomal RNA (468 nucleotides) under uncultured bacterium. RNAcentral describes it as "partial 16S ribosomal RNA". It matches the Rfam family "Bacterial small subunit ribosomal RNA", at positions 28 to 507 of the family's 1533-position model. The record is from RNAcentral.